GACGAACGCUGGCGGCGUGCCUAAUACAUGCAAGUAGGACGCAGUUGCGAACGGGAGAGUAACGCGUAGGUCCAUGCCUAUUAGAGGGGGAUAACUACUGGAAACGAUAGCUAAUACCGCCUACUAGUAGAUGGACCUGCUUUGUAUUAGCUAGUAGGUAGGGUAAUGGGCUACCUAGGCGACGAUACAUAGCCGAGCUGAGAGGGGGAUGGGCCACAACUGGGAGGGGACACGGCCCAGACUCCUACGGGAGGCAGCAGUAGGGAAACAUCGGCAAUGGGGGGAACCCUGACCGAGCAACGCCGCGGGAGUGAAGAAGGUUGUCGGAGCGGAAAGCUCUUUUGUUAAGGAAGCGGUACUUAACCAGAAAGGGACGGCUAACUACGUGCCAGCAGCCGCGGUAAUAC
RNAcentral lists this ribosomal RNA (407 nucleotides) under uncultured bacterium. RNAcentral's name for it is "partial 16S ribosomal RNA". It matches the Rfam family "Bacterial small subunit ribosomal RNA", at positions 28 to 526 of the family's 1533-position model. The record is from RNAcentral.